This is a long non-coding RNA of Gallus gallus (chicken), 1457 nucleotides long. NCBI's taxonomy places the organism in Eukaryota, Metazoa, Chordata, Aves, Galliformes, Phasianidae. The record is from Ensembl.
CACAGCAGGGACUGCAAGCUGUGCAACUGCCGUAACAUUAAAAAAAUGAUGAUCCCAAUGACUCCAUCUUCGUGUCCUGCUAACACCGCUGUCGUGCUGCAGCAGCCAGAGAGCUGCCAUGCUUUGCAGCUGGCCAGGAGUAGUGUAGCCAAUGUGUCUGCAAUUUUAGCAGAGACGUGGGGCAGGAAAUGAGAGAACCCAUAAAUGCUCCACUUCAAAUACUGAAAUCAGAGGUGAACAAUUGCGGACAGCUUUGGCCACGUAAGUCUGCUGUUUAAGGAGCUGGCGUUAAUGAUUUCCUGCAUGAGGAACUACAAGUCUUGCAUGCAAGUUGGCAAGUGAAGGGAAAACAUGAUGACUGUCCAUAUUUACGUCUACACCUGUGUUAUCUAUCAGAGUAUUGAAUAUCCAGGAAGAAGGACUGAUUUUUCAAGAUAAGCCAAAAACAGAAAAAAACAAACUCUUCUAAAUCCUCCAGGGGCACCACUGGAAAAUCCUCUUAGAGUUUUGUUACUUGCUCAACACGCACAGAGACAAAACACAGCAAGCAAGCACUCUAGCACCAGCAUCCUCUUCCACUCCUCUCUGCAGGUACGGAAGCUGGGUGAGCUCUGAGCUCUGUGGAGUGGUCCAUGUCACUCUGAAGGGCAGCACAGCCAGCUGGGGCAUCAGCCACUCCUCCCAGUUUCUGAGAACUGCAAACUUGCGUUAUGGUAGGAAACGAUCAGGUUGGUCAAGCAUGACUUUCCCAUCAUACAUCCAUACUGGCUACUCCCAAUUACCUCCCUGUCCUUCACAUGCCUGGAAACAGUUUCAGGAAGUGGUUUCAGUAGUUGUUCCAUCACCAUCCUAGGCGCUGAGCCUCCAGGAACCUCUCCCAGUUGCCACACGCAGGAUGAGAUAGCACUUUGUUUUUGUGGCACCCCAGCAGAAGGCACGGAGCAGAUAUCAGGAAAGCCCAUUUGUUUGGUGUUUCUCAUGUGCAGAGUACCAAGAGAAGACUUCGUAUCUAGGACACGGGUAUGAAGAGACUGAAAUGGUAGUGGGCCUUGCUGUCCUUCAGCCAUGCUGCUUCAAAUCCAAAGCAAGUCCAGCAUCUCCGUGCUGGCACUGUAGACUAACAGGCUUCUGAAACACAGUCAGCUCCUGUGUAUAAGCCACACCACAGGAGGCCAGAACUGCUGCUAAGCAGCCCUACAGUGCAUGAUACAGAGCGCAAGAGUUACUUCAGGUGCCAGUAUCAGGUGUGAGUGCUUCCCAUGAAGCGCCUGUAUUGCCUGGGAAAGUGUCAUCCCACUAUCUGUGCUGUUGUUGAGAAACCACUGAAGCAUCUUGUGGGUGGACAUGGCUAUCAUAGAAACACGUCCUUAAAUGCUACUCGUGGACUUGAUGUCUGUACAACUAUCUCAGAUAAGUAGGUGAUUUCCAUAGGUAAAAGCCUAGGCAGAUAAAGUGAU